Vicia villosa (hairy vetch) is the source of this 2743-nucleotide RNA transcript. It is a transcript of the gene named nucleoside hydrolase 3-like, with no coding region annotated. The transcript is spliced from 3 exons. NCBI's taxonomy places the organism in Eukaryota, Viridiplantae, Streptophyta, Magnoliopsida, Fabales, Fabaceae. The record is from RefSeq and is a predicted model, not a curated record.
UUUACAUUAAAACAAAAUAAUCAACAAAGAAAAAGGAAAGAAGAAAACUACCGAGAGUAUCGUAGCUUUCAUGUAACGUGAAAAUGCCUUCUUCCCAUAAGCACUUAUGAGAAGUGCUUUUUCAUUCUAAAAAAACACUUAUUUUCAAAAUCCAUUCUCUCUACUCUCCUUCAUCAUGAAACAAUGCUAACAAAUAAUCAACCAAUUGAUUCACUCUUAAAGAAGGAGAAGGAAUUACCGGCGAAAAAUAUAAUGACGAGGUGACGGGAUUCCGGCAACACAUUUGGUUUGUGGAUGCGGGGAAAUCGAGAUUGAGAGGUGCAGCGGAGCUUUGAGGUAACUGUGGAGGUGCGCGGUGGAGUUCCAAGGUUGUUCUCGCGUUUCCGUCAACAAAUCCAGUGAGGCAAGUAUUCACGCGUUUUUGAAUUCCUUUCUUCUCUCCUGUUCAAUUCUUGGUUGCUUAAUCGUAGUUGUGUUAUCAUUGAUGAUUGUUGCUCAGUUCUUGCUAUCGAAAGCUUUCAAAGUGAAGAGUUUUUCAUCUUACACACAAGGUGUUUGAUGAAAAGUCUCACCCAAGCUCUUAGUCUUAGCAUGUAUUAGUAUAAAAUAAAUUGCUUGGUUUACUUAAUGUUCACGGUGAUCUAGAAUUGACUCAAGGACUCUACUACUAAUAAUCAUCUCUAAUUAAUCGCUUAUUGCAUAAUCGAUUUGUUAUAUAGUGUUUGGGGUGUUUUAAGUGUAACUGUUGUUGAUGUGUGUUUAUAGGACAGAAGAUCAAACUCAGGAUUCUGGUGCUAUAUUGAAAAAGACUUUUGUGUCCCCAACAAGACGAGUGUUAAUGGCGAGUUUGUCUUUGUAUUCUUGUUUAUGUUCUUCAAGAGAUGGAGAGCUUGAGAACACCUUUCAAGGGUAUUGUAGACGAUAUCAAAGUCGGUAUCGAUGAAUUUUUCGCAACGAACCAAUCAAACCCAGAAUUUCCAAUCGUUGGAGGUUGCAAGUAUGUUAAAGCUAUACCUCAUGGAAAUGGUGGGCUUCUUGAUUCUGACACUCUAUUUGGACUAGCUCGUGAUUUACCUCGUAGCCCUAGAAGGUUGGUGCUUUCUAGUACAGAAGUUACUUUAGUUUCUUGCCUUAAAAGUCUGAUCAACAUUAGGACAUUAUUGAUACCAUUAUACUUUUGUGGGGAAUGAAACCUAACAUUACUAUCAAAUAAAUAAUGGUACUAUAUGUUAUCCAUAAACUGUGACAAGAUGAAUUAUAUAGUAUCACCAUGUGAACAAUAUGGGAAAUUAUUGUAACUCGCGCAAUAUAAUUUGAACAUGUGAGUCAGGUACACGGCAGCAAACUUCAUGAAGUUUGGAGCUCCUAGAGAUACCAAACAUCCUGAACGCAGACAACCACUAGCUACGUAAAUCUGGGAGUCGAUAUUGCUUACAUUAGAACCAGGGUCUAAGAUUACAGUAUUCAGGUAAAUUAUUGAAUAGAAAUUUUAUGUCAUUUGAUGUACGAAUUUGACAAUCAUGGUGUUUCACUGUGAUUUUGAUAAAAAGUUACACUUGAGAGUUACAACAAAGAGUCUAUCUGUUCUCAAGAAACAGGUGAGUAAAUGAGUAUUGGAAUUUGUAGAGUAAGUAUCAAGAUUGAAUUUUAUGCUAAUUAUGUUGAUUUGUUGAUAUUUGAAUGGUAGAUGAUCCGAAGAAAGAUGGUUAAAAGUGCAAAGGAAAGCAUAAGGCAGGAAGCUAGCAACUCUGAAAUAUAUGGGAAAAUGCAAGCAGUGUUUAUAGAAAUGGAUAAUAAUCCUAAUUGACAUGGAUUCCAAUUGCUGGAAUGUUGUUCCCUCUGCCAUUUUUUUUGUUGAUUAUAUUGAGACAACACAUACUCCCCAAGUUCUUCAGUCCAAACCAUCUUAUGGAACUAGAUGCAGCUGAAUAUGAAGAAAUAUCUGGUGCUCCAAAACUAAGUCUCAGUUUAUCCUUAAAGGUAUACUAAGCUUUAUGAUGUUUGUUUUGGAUUUAAAUUCUGUCGUCGCAAUUCCAUGCAUUCACGCAACGAUCACAUCGGUGGCCAUUGAAUCAAUAUUCGGCAGUGUAAAUUUUAAAAUCCAUUUGCUUUCUACUCUGUCAGAUCUCAAUUUAACGGAUACCAGUACGAUGACUACACGAAUGCGUUCCACACAGUCAACUACUAUUAUGUACCCGAGUAUUAUUUUUACACUGAAUCUGUCCACAAGGCUGUUAAAUGACAACUGCCACUGUGUCAUAUGAUCUCUUUUGAUUUUUCCACCUUGAACUUCUGCAAGCUGAAGCAGUGAGAAACUUUUUAUACUCUCUCAACAAUGGACUGCAACUGCAUCAUAUGAUCUCUUUUGAUUUCUCCACCUUGACUUCUACAAGUUGCAGCAAGUGAGGUUGCAAGGGAACUGAGGUCGUAGCACUGGCGUAGGUACUUAAACUACCUUGCCAAUCUAAGGCCCAUCUGUUUUUCCAUUUAUCACAACUGAAAUGUGCCAUUGGAGAACUCCCCCUAGAGCUACAAUAUAUUUUUGGUAAAUUUGUAUUUUUUUCAUUUAAAAAGUUGGAUAACUUUACUCUAGUGAGUUGUUUUAAGCAUAAUUAUAUAAGUGAAAUUUAUUUCCCAUUUCACUUAAAUUGAUUAAUUUAAUUUAUUUCCCAAAGAGAAGAUAAACUCUUAUGAUGAAGCUAGUGGCAGACUUUGUUUCACAUUAAAUUAUUGCAUAGGAAAA